Small nucleolar RNA from Sorex fumeus (smoky shrew), 119 nucleotides. RefSeq annotates it as small nucleolar RNA SNORA26. The transcript has a single exon. NCBI's taxonomy places the organism in Eukaryota, Metazoa, Chordata, Mammalia, Eulipotyphla, Soricidae. The record is from RefSeq and is a predicted model, not a curated record.
GUGCCUCUUAAAGCUGGCUCGGUGCGCUCAGAGGCUAACACAGAAGGGUAAAGUGAUUCUCCAUAACCCAGAGAGGAGAUCAUACAAACUCCUCUUGGAUCCUGUCUGGAGUCACCCAC